GGAGGCUGCCUUCACCGAGUCAUCCCCUUCUUUCUCAGUCUUGCCUAGCACCUCGAGAAGGAAGAAACCACCUUCACCCUGAGUCUCAAGGUGAAGCUUCCACCAUUCCGGCACCCAGGAGCAGGCAGAGCCCCAGACUCUGGAAGGAGCUCUGCCACCCCGGGCUUUCCAGAAGACCUUUGGAGAUGAUCUCGCCCGCAUCAUCUUUCCCGUCUCAGGUGCCCUCAUCUCGGAGACGCUGUGGAGAGUACAGAGCAACCCAGUGUUCCCACAGCCUGUGGAAGAGGUUUCACAUCAAGGAAGCAGGCAGCAGGACCCCCAGCAUGCCGCGCCUGGCCGAGCAGCCAGGGGAACCCCAAGCCCACACCUCACGCUCCAAUGGCAACAACAAACGCAACUCCCGGAGGAACCAGCACAAAGCUCAGCAUCUGGGCUCCUCAGCCAAGCUCCGGAAGUGACUGUGAACACGUGCUCCCCCGAGACCCCAGGGCCUGCCCUCCUGCCUGCAACUGUGCCCCUAACAACAGAAACAAAACCCGUACAAGCCGCCGUGCCGGGCUCACAGAGAGAAGUCAACAAAUGUCUGCUGGAAGAAUAAGAGAAUGAAUGAACAAUGUUGUUCCUCUUGGAUUUCCCAGCUGGCUGGACUCCUGGGCAGGUCUUUGAAUUCGCCCUGCAGACCCCGUUGUGUUGCUUCCCUUGGCUCUUCAGAACAAAAGAGUAUACAAAAGUGCUUAUCCUUUUUGAUAGAAAUGGGUUGGAACAGUAUGGUUUUCACUUUGACUGGGAGGCCUAGAAUGGUUUGCAAUCGAUUGUUUGUUUCACUAAUGGAG
This 833-nucleotide long non-coding RNA is filed under the name Heterocephalus glaber (naked mole-rat). RNAcentral's name for it is "lncRNA (ENSHGLG00000036505.1)". Lineage: Eukaryota; Metazoa; Chordata; Mammalia; Rodentia; Bathyergidae. The record is from RNAcentral.